Molecule: ribosomal RNA, 88 nt
Filed under: Enterobacteriaceae bacterium 8376wG6
Lineage: Bacteria; Pseudomonadati; Pseudomonadota; Gammaproteobacteria; Enterobacterales; Enterobacteriaceae
Description: partial 16S ribosomal RNA
Rfam family: Bacterial small subunit ribosomal RNA
Source: RNAcentral
UUUAAUUGAAGAGUUUGAUCAUGGCUCAGAUUGAACGCUGGCGGCAGGCUUAACACAUGCAAGUCGAGCGGUAGCACAGGGGAGCUUG